AGUGAACGCUGGCGGUAGGCCUAACACAUGCAAGUCGAACGGCAGCACAGUAAGAGCUUGCUCUUACGGGUGGCGAGUGGCGGACGGGUGAGGAAUACAUCGGAAUCUACUUUUUCGUGGGGGAUAACGUAGGGAAACUUACGCUAAUACCGCAUACGACCUACGGGUGAAAGCAGGGGAUCUUCGGACCUUGCGCGACUGAAUGAGCCGAUGUCGGAUUAGCUAGUUGGCGGGGUAAAGGCCCACCAAGGCGACGAUCCGUAGCUGGUCUGAGAGGAUGAUCAGCCACACUGGACCUGAGACACGGUCCAGACUCCUACGGGAGGCAGCAGUGGGGAAUAUUGGACAAUGGGCGCAAGCCUGAUCCAGCCAUACCGCGUGGGUGAAGAAGGCCUUCGGGUUGUAAAGCCCUUUUGUUGGGAAAGAAAAGCAGCAGGUUAAUACCCCGCUGUUCUGACGGUACCCAAAGAAUAAGCACCGGCUAACUUCGU
This 491-nucleotide ribosomal RNA is filed under the name uncultured bacterium. RNAcentral's name for it is "partial 16S ribosomal RNA". It matches the Rfam family "Bacterial small subunit ribosomal RNA", at positions 29 to 506 of the family's 1533-position model. The record is from RNAcentral.